RNAcentral lists this ribosomal RNA (494 nucleotides) under uncultured bacterium. RNAcentral describes it as "partial 16S ribosomal RNA". It matches the Rfam family "Bacterial small subunit ribosomal RNA", at positions 28 to 507 of the family's 1533-position model. The record is from RNAcentral.
GACGAACGCUGGCGGCGCGCUUAGCACAUGCCAGUCGAACGGAAAGGCCUGCUUUCCCUUGUGGAUUGCGGGUACUCGAGUGGCGAACGGGUGAGUAACACGUGAGUGAUCUGCCCCCAACUUGGGUAUAAGCCUGGGAAACUGGGUCUAAUUCCCGAUAGGACUGCAGGGUGGUGCCUGUGGUGGAAAACGAUUUUCUAGUGGUUGGGGAUGAGCUCGCGGCCUAUCAGCUUGUUGGUGGGGUAAUGGCCUACCAAGGCGGCGACGGGUAGCCGGCCUGAGAGGGGGGACGGCCACAUUGGGACUGAGAUACGGCCCAGACUCCUACGGGAGGCAGCAGUGGGGAAUAUUGCACAAUGGGCGGAAGCCUGAUGCAGCGACGCCGCGUGGGGGAUGACGGCCUUCGGGUUGUAAACUCCUUUCGACCGCGAGGAAGCCACCUGGUUGGAAGGGUGGUGACGGUAGUGGUAGAAGAAGCACCGGCUAACUACGUG